UGAAUACGAGACGCUAAGGCGUCGAAGUAGUGUAUGUCAUACUUCCAAGAAAAGCUUGCACUGUCAUAGAUAAAAAACGCCUGUACCAUAACCGACACAGGUGGGUAGGUAGAGUAUACUAAGGGGCGCGAGAUAACUCUCUCUAAGGAACUCGGCAAAAUAACUCCGUAACUUCGGGAGAAGGAGUGCCUUAUUCUUAAGGUUGCAAUAACAAGAUCCAAGCAACUGUUUAUCAAAAACACAGGUCUCCGCUAAGUCGUAAGACGAUGUAUGGGGGCUGACGCCUGCCCAGUGCCAGAAGGUUAAAGAAGCUGGUUAGCAUUUGCGAAGCUAGUAACUGAAGCCCUGGUGAACGGCGGCCGUAACAAUAACGGUCCUAAGGUAGCGAAAUUCCUUGUCGGGUAAGUUCCGACCCGCACGAAAGGCGUAAUGAUUUGGAUACUGUCUCGGAGAGGGGCUCGGUGAAAUAGACUUGUCUGUGAAGAUGCGGACUACCUGCACCAGGACAGAAAGACCCUAUGAAGCUUUACUGUAACUUGAAAUUGAAAUUGGACUUUAUUCGCGCAGUAUAGGUGGGAGGCGUUGAUUAUAAUCUUGCGGGAUUAUUGGAGCCAUUAGUGAGAUACCACUCUUGUAAUGUUAGAUUUCUAACUUUGAAUCAUUAUCUGGUCAAAGAACAGUUUCAGGCGGGCAGUUUGACUGGGGCGGUCGCCUCCUAAACGGUAACGGAGGCGUACAAAGGUUUCCUCUGAACGGUUAGAAAUCGUAUCUAGAGUGUAAAGGCAUAAGGAAGCUUGACUGUGAGACCUACAAGUCGAGCAGGGACGAAAGUCGGUCUUAGUGAUCUGACGGUACUGAGUGGAAAGGCCGUCACUCAACGGAUAAAAGUUACUCUAGGAUAACAGGCUGAUCUCCCCCAAGAGUUCACAUCGACGGGGAGGUUUGGCACCUCGAUGUCGGCUCAUCGCAUCCUGGGGCGGUAGUACGUCCCAAGGGUUGGGCUGUUCGCCCAUGAAGGCGGUACGCGAGCUGGGUUCAGAACGUCGUGAGACAGUUCGGUCCAUAUCCGGUGUAGGCGUUAGAAUAUUGAGAGGAGCCUUCUUUAGUACGAGAGGACCGAGAAGGACAUACCUCUGGUGUACCAGUUAUCGUGCCAACGGUAAACGCUGGGUAGCUAUGUAUGGAGUGGAUAACCGCUGAAAGCAUCUAAGUGGGAAGCCCACCUCAAGAUAAG
RNAcentral lists this ribosomal RNA (1234 nucleotides) under metagenome. Its description in RNAcentral is "bacterial LSU rRNA". It matches the Rfam family "Bacterial large subunit ribosomal RNA", at positions 1564 to 2808 of the family's 2925-position model. The record is from RNAcentral.